GACGAACGCUGGCGGCGUGCUUAACACAUGCAAGUCGAACGGAAAGGCCCUGCUUUUGUGGGGUGCUCGAGUGGCGAACGGGUGAGUAACACGUGAGUAACCUGCCCUUGACUUUGGGAUAACUUCAGGAAACUGGGGCUAAUACCGGAUAGGAGCUCCUGCUGCAUGGUGGGGGUUGGAAAGUUUCGGCGGUUGGGGAUGGACUCGCGGCUUAUCAGCUUGUUGGUGGGGUAGUGGCUUACCAAGGCUUUGACGGGUAGCCGGCCUGAGAGGGUGACCGGCCACAUUGGGACUGAGAUACGGCCCAGACUCCUACGGGAGGCAGCAGUGGGGAAUAUUGCACAAUGGGCGGAAGCCUGAUGCAGCAACGCCGCGUGCGGGAUGACGACCUUCGGGUUGUAAACCGCUUUCGCCUGUGACGAAGCGUGAGUGACGGUAAUGGGUAAAGAAGCACCGGAUAACUACGUG
This 468-nucleotide ribosomal RNA is filed under the name uncultured bacterium. RNAcentral describes it as "partial 16S ribosomal RNA". It matches the Rfam family "Bacterial small subunit ribosomal RNA", at positions 28 to 507 of the family's 1533-position model. The record is from RNAcentral.